UUGAGCCUUGAUGUGUAGGAUAGGUGGGAGGCUUUGAAGCGUGGACGCCAGUCUGCGUGGAGCCGACCUUGAAAUACCACCCUUUAAUGUUUGAUGUUCUAACGUGGACCCGUAAUCCGGGUUGCGGACAGUGUCUGGUGGGUAGUUUGACUGGGGCGGUCUCCUCCUAAAGAGUAACGGAGGAGCACGAAGGUUGGCUAAUCCUGGUCGGACAUCAGGAGGUUAGUGCAAUGGCAUAAGCCAGCUUGACUGCGAGCGUGACGGCGCGAGCAGGUGCGAAAGCAGGUCAUAGUGAUCCGGUGGUUCUGAAUGGAAGGGCCAUCGCUCAACGGAUAAAAGGUACUCCGGGGAUAACAGGCUGAUACCGCCCAAGAGUUCAUAUCGACGGCGGUGUUUGGCACCUCGAUGUCGGCUCAUCACAUCCUGGGGCUGAAGUAGGUCCCAAGGGUAUGGCUGUUCGCCAUUUAAAGUGGUACGCGAGCUGGGUUUAGAACGUCGUGAGACAGUUCGGUCCCUAUCUGCCGUGGGCGCUGGAGAACUGAGGGGGGCUGCUCCUAGUACGAGAGGACCGGAGUGGACGCAUCACUGGUGUUCGGGUUGUCAUGCCAAUGGCACUGCCCGGUAGCUAAAUGCGGAAGAGAUAAGUGCUGAAAGCAUCUAAGCACGAAACUUGCCCCGA
RNAcentral lists this ribosomal RNA (679 nucleotides) under Salmonella enterica subsp. enterica serovar Infantis. RNAcentral describes it as "partial 23S ribosomal RNA". It matches the Rfam family "Bacterial large subunit ribosomal RNA", at positions 2124 to 2802 of the family's 2925-position model. Lineage: Bacteria; Pseudomonadati; Pseudomonadota; Gammaproteobacteria; Enterobacterales; Enterobacteriaceae. RNAcentral also lists the same sequence under 1 other name. The record is from RNAcentral.